GAGUAUAAAAUCAAUCGUUAAAACUUUCAACAACGGAUCUCUUGGUUCCGGCAUCGAUGAAGAACGCAGCGAAAUGCGAUAAGUAAUGUGAAUUGCAGAAUUCCGUGAAUCAUCGAAUCUUUGAACGCACAUUGCGCCCCCUGGCAUUCCGGGGGGCA
Molecule: ribosomal RNA, 158 nt
Filed under: Paecilomyces niveus
Lineage: Eukaryota; Fungi; Ascomycota; Eurotiomycetes; Eurotiales; Thermoascaceae
Description: Byssochlamys nivea 5.8S ribosomal RNA
Rfam family: 5.8S ribosomal RNA (bases 22-158)
About the family: 5.8S ribosomal RNA (5.8S rRNA) is a component of the large subunit of the eukaryotic ribosome. It is transcribed by RNA polymerase I as part of the 45S precursor that also contains 18S and 28S rRNA.
Source: RNAcentral